UACGAGUGCCCCGAGCGUUAUCCGGAAUCAUUGGGCGUAAAGGGUGUGUAGGUGGCAGUGUUAGUCAGUUGUUAAAACCCGGGGCUUAACCCCGGAUGUGCGACUGAUACGGCACAGCUAGAGGAUGCGAGGGAUGUAUAGAACUCAUGGAGUAGGGGUGAAAUCCGUUGAUAUCAUGGGGAAUACCAAAAGCGAAGGCAGUACAUUGGCGCACUCCUGACACUGAAACACGAAAGCGUGGGUAGCGAAUGGG
RNAcentral lists this ribosomal RNA (253 nucleotides) under uncultured prokaryote. RNAcentral's name for it is "partial 16S ribosomal RNA". It matches the Rfam family "Bacterial small subunit ribosomal RNA", at positions 524 to 776 of the family's 1533-position model. The record is from RNAcentral.